UACGUAGGUGUCAAGCGUUAUCCGGAAUUACUGGGCGUAAAGGGCACGCAGGCGGCUUGGGAAGUCCGACGUGAAAGCUCCCGGCUUAACUGGGAGAGGUCGUUGGAAACUCUUGGGCUUGAGAGGGUGAGAGGGAGGCGGAAUUCCCGGUGUAGUGGUGGAAUGCGUAGAUAUCGGGAAGAACACCAGUGGCGAAAGCGGCCUCCUGGCACUCGUCUGACGCUGAGGUGCGAAAGCGUGGGGAGCGAACGGGAUUAGAUACCCCAGUAGUCC
RNAcentral lists this ribosomal RNA (273 nucleotides) under uncultured bacterium. Its description in RNAcentral is "partial 16S ribosomal RNA". It matches the Rfam family "Bacterial small subunit ribosomal RNA", at positions 524 to 796 of the family's 1533-position model. The record is from RNAcentral.